This 427-nucleotide ribosomal RNA is filed under the name Chloroflexota bacterium. RNAcentral's name for it is "Chloroflexi bacterium partial 16S ribosomal RNA". It matches the Rfam family "Bacterial small subunit ribosomal RNA", at positions 355 to 776 of the family's 1533-position model. The record is from RNAcentral. Lineage: Bacteria; Bacillati; Chloroflexota.
UAGGGAAUCUUCGGCAAUGGACGAAAGUCUGACCGAGCAACGCCGCGUGAGUGAAGAAGGUUUUCGGAUCGUAAAACUCUGUUGUUAGAGAAGAACAAGGACGUUAGUAACUGAACGUCCCCUGACGGUAUCUAACCAGAAAGCCACGGCUAACUACGUGCCAGCAGCCGCGGUAAUACGUAGGUGGCAAGCGUUGUCCGGAUUUAUUGGGCGUAAAGCGAGCGCAGGCGGUUUCUUAAGUCUGAUGAAAGCCCCCGGCUCAACCGGGGGGGGUCAUUGGAAACUGGCAGACUUGAGUGCAGAAGAGGAGAGUGGAAUUCCAUGUGUAGCGGUGAAAUGCGUAGAUAUAUGGAGGAACACCAGUGGCGAAGGCGGCUCUCUGGUCUGUAACUGACGCUGGGGCUCGAAAGCGUGGGGAGCAAACAGG